Corchorus olitorius is the source of this 117-nucleotide non-coding RNA. The record is from Rfam. Lineage: Eukaryota; Viridiplantae; Streptophyta; Magnoliopsida; Malvales; Malvaceae.
GUGCGAUCAUACCAACACUAAUGCACCGGAUCCCAUCAGAACUCCGCAGUUAAGCGUGCUUGGGCGAGAGUAGUACUAGGAUGGGUGACCUCCUGGGAAGUCCUCGUGUUAAGCAUU